CCUAAAUUGUCCUGAACAUGGAUUAACCCUAUAUGAUAAUAGCUGGUAAUGCUCCUGACGUAAACCAACAGCUACACCUGCUGUUUGAAACAUAUAGAAAUAUAUGUCAAAAUGACAUCAACAGACAUUAAAAUAAAGACUUGUCCCAAAAUUACAUUGGACCAGGUCAGAAGGUUAACAUAUAAGGAAUGAUAUAUAACCCCAUGACAUAGGAAUAGAAUGAUCUUCACAGAUAUCACAGAUCUUCUCAUCAGAUCUUAAAUCAAAAUCAUAAGACUCAGACGAUCUCUUGAAAUCCCUAUAUGACAAUCUAGAAGACAUUUUGAAACAAUCUUAAAAAAACCAUCCAGAACAUCUAUCGGUAAAUAUAAGCGAAUUAUACUAAUUAUAAAAUUACAUAACUAAAAGCUAGUAUUUUUCUGGGUAAAAACUGAUCUGAAUCCCCCAGAUUGGGUUUCCUGAUAGCUCACGAUAAGAACUGUUUUAACUAAACCUGCAAGAAUUUAGUUACUGAAUGAAUUAUGUAACCAUAAUUAAUUACUCUGUGAAAUAGCAGUGAGCUAGUUAAAAUCCUGUAUGAGUUAAAAGCUUGAACUGACUUGUCAGCACUGAGCUGGUUAAAAUUCUGUGGAUAGCGGAUAAAACAUUGUCAGUAGAACUUGUGUAUAGAUCACCUGAGUAAAUAAAGAACUCUGUCCUAUAGAAUGUAUGCUCAUUUGAGCAGGGUCCUCUUCGACCUAUCGUUCCUGUAAGUUUUCUUGUAAUUGUCCUACUUAUAGUUAAAUCCCC
Non-coding RNA from Pelobates cultripes (western spadefoot toad), 789 nucleotides. NCBI's taxonomy places the organism in Eukaryota, Metazoa, Chordata, Amphibia, Anura, Pelobatidae. The record is from the annotation of a GenBank genome assembly.